This 114-nucleotide microRNA precursor is filed under the name Brassica napus (rape). RNAcentral's name for it is "MIR9563 microRNA precursor family". It matches the Rfam family "MIR9563 microRNA precursor family". Lineage: Eukaryota; Viridiplantae; Streptophyta; Magnoliopsida; Brassicales; Brassicaceae. The record is from Rfam by way of RNAcentral.
GGAAUAUAAAAAUCGUCUCUUAACUUUUAACUAAAAAAAAAAGAACCGGUUCUUAAAUAAGAGCUGAUUCUUAACUUUUUUAGUUAAAAAUUAAGAGACGGAUUCUUAUAUUUC